AUCCCGUCCGAUCUGCGAAGUUAAGCAAGGUAUCGCCUAGUCAGUACUGCGGUGGGGGACCACGCGGGAAUCCUAGGUGCUGCAGUUC
This 88-nucleotide ribosomal RNA is filed under the name Moesziomyces antarcticus. Lineage: Eukaryota; Fungi; Basidiomycota; Ustilaginomycetes; Ustilaginales; Ustilaginaceae. The record is from RNAcentral.